This 406-nucleotide long non-coding RNA is filed under the name Homo sapiens (human). RNAcentral describes it as "LNC_000184". The record is from RNAcentral. Lineage: Eukaryota; Metazoa; Chordata; Mammalia; Primates; Hominidae.
CUCCUGCCUCAUAGGCCAAUAAAAAUUCAUUAUAACGUUGCAAUAGACGACGUCUGCGUUCUUCUGCCCGAUCCAAGAGGGAGCGGUAUUGGUUCUCAAUCUGCUCCUGGCGCUGGGUGAUGUUUCCUGGCUCUUCUCGUCGCCGCUGUGGGAGCAUCGGGAACUCAUCGUGGGCCAGUCUUCUGACAUAGACAGCUGGGACAAUGCCCUGAUGAUCAGCAGCUUCCACCUUCCACCAGUCCUUAUUGAUGGAACUGAGCAGCGUUAAGACAUCACCUUUCUUCAUGGUGACUUCUCGGGGGCUGCGGGCCUGGAAGUCAUAUAAAGCCAUGACCCUUUGUUCUCCAGCAACUCCCUCCACUGGUGCAGCCUGUUGUUGCUGAAUAAAAACAGGAAGCAGGUGUCA